UACGUAGGGGGCAAGCGUUGUCCGGAAUCAUUGGGCGCAAAGAGCGUGUAGGCGGCCAGAUAAGUCCGCUGUGAAAACUCGAGGCUCAACUUCGAGCUGUCGGUGGAAACUAUUUGGCUAGAGUCCGGAAGAGGAGAGUGGAAUUCCUGGUGUAGCGGUGAAAUGCGCAGAUAUCAGGAAGAACACCCGUGGCGAAGGCGGCUCUCUGGUACGGAACUGACGCUGAGACGCGAAAGCGUGGGGAGCGAACAGG
Molecule: ribosomal RNA, 253 nt
Filed under: uncultured bacterium
Lineage: Bacteria
Description: partial 16S ribosomal RNA
Rfam family: Bacterial small subunit ribosomal RNA
Source: RNAcentral